CGUGCGGUUCUAUUUUGUUGGUUUUUGGAAUCGCCGUAAUGAUUAAUAGGGACAGUCGGGGGCAUUAGUACUCACAUGCUAGAGGUGAAAUUCUUGGAUUUUGUGAAGACUAACUUCUGCGAAAGCAUUUGCCAAGGAUGUUUUCAUUAAUCAGGAACGAAAGUUAGGGGAUCGAAGACGAUCAGAUACCGUCGUAGUCUUAACCAUAAACUAUGCCGAUUAGGGAUCGGACGGUGUUAUUUUUUGACCCGUUCGGCACCUUACGAUAAAUCAAAAUGUUUGGGCUCCUGGGGGAGUAUGGUCGCAAGGCUGAAACUUAAAGGAAUUGACGGAAGGGCACCACCAGGCGUGGAGCCUGCGGCUUAAUUUGAUUCAACACGG
Molecule: ribosomal RNA, 381 nt
Filed under: uncultured fungus
Lineage: Eukaryota; Fungi
Description: SSU rRNA
Rfam family: Eukaryotic small subunit ribosomal RNA
Source: RNAcentral